AUAGCGUAUAUUAAAGUUGUUGCAGUUAAAAAGCUCGUAGUUGAAUUUCGGGAUCAAUAUGUUGGUCGUGCCUUGGUACGUACUGGCAUUAUUGGUUUCUACCUUCUGAAGAACCUCGAUGUCAUUAAUUUGGUGUCUUGGGGAAUCAGGACUGUUACUUUGAAAAAAUUAGAGUGUUUAAAGCAGGCUCGCGCUUGAAUACAUUAGCAUGGAAUAAUGAAAUAGGACGUUUGAUUCUAUUUUGUUGGUUUCUAGGAUCGACGUAAUGAUUAAUAGGGAUAGUUGGGGGCAUUAGUAUUCAAUUGUCAGAGGUGAAAUUCUUGGAUUUAUUGAAGACUAACUACUG
Molecule: ribosomal RNA, 346 nt
Filed under: uncultured eukaryote
Lineage: Eukaryota
Description: SSU rRNA
Rfam family: Eukaryotic small subunit ribosomal RNA
Source: RNAcentral